Molecule: long non-coding RNA, 4821 nt
Organism: Rhineura floridana
Lineage: Eukaryota; Metazoa; Chordata; Lepidosauria; Squamata; Rhineuridae
Exons: 2
Source: RefSeq, a predicted model, not a curated record
CUGUCUGAUAAUAGGAUUCGUUCCCCUGCCCCACUCCUCCCUGUGUAUCCUUAUCUUCAGAGAUGUAAUAUGUACAGGAUAUGAAAACUUAAAAGGCACCUUUAUAAAUUCAUCACUUAGCAGACUUUGUACUGUUAAAAGAUUGAACUCAUGUUACUGAAUGUUGUUACAUGCCUCCCUUAACCUGUGGGGAGCUUUUCAAGAAAAAACAAAGACAGCAAAGCAUACUUGUUAACAUGUCCAUUGCUGGAACCCCUUCCCCACAUCCCAUCAUGCUUCUUUUCACAGCAGCUUUGGAAACUUGCAUGAAAUUUGCUGGUCUAGAUUACUUAAGAAGGAUGGGGAGGCCAGAGGGUUUAGAUAGGGGAUUGUGACAAUUGCCAUUCAUCAUAAUUACAGCUCACAAUCAGAGUAAUGGCAAAGGGGUGAAUGUUAAGUAGUGAUUGGGGGCUAUGAAGACUACUAUGGCUGUGUGUAUUUGAAAAAGCUUGGGGGUUGGAAAUCUAUCUCCCAGACAGAGUACGGUUAAGGAAUGAGUUUGGUUAUUAAGUGUGGUGCUGUUUCUUCCACUAAUGGCAACUCACAGUUGCAGUAAUGUAGGGGGAGGAUUAGCAGGUGGGGGAAAUAAAGUCAAUAAGCAUUGCAGCAGUAGAGCGGAGUGUGACGUCCUUCCCCAGCACCACCUGUGAAGCUCUCACUUUGUGGCUACCAGCAGACAGGAACGUCAGGUUUAUUCUUACCCUUUACAGCACUAGCACAGAUCUCAACAGAUCCCCCUGCUAGGCCACACUACCCAACACUCUGUAACCCUUUUAGCCAAUAGACUGUGCCUAGUCUCUGCCUGGCUAUUCCGAUACCUUGUGUCAAUGGGUAUAGGUAAUUUGUAACCCCCCCUGCAGCCCCUUGACUCUGAAGCAUACAGCCCUGGGUUUCUCUGUGGGACUGGAUACACUUUCCUCCGAUCCGCCGCUGCCACCAUUCGAUACAAACUGUUCAGCCUUGGUUACUCUGCCAUCCCCCUGGAUUGUGUAUCCCAGCUGAAGAAUCAGGCUUUUUGUAAACCAAGAAAUAUUUAUUGAACACUAAAAAUAACAAGAUUACUUAAGUACUUUGUUGACAAGCUUAUGGUUUCAUAUAUGUUCUGACAUGUACUUUACUUCUCAUUAAUUGCCUCAGAACUCUGACUCACUCUCAACAACACCAACAACCUCCAAACACCACCAAAACCUCUCUUUCACCUCUCUAAACCUCCAACAUCCACACAGAUUCAACUGUCAUUCUUCCAUUUAUACUCCCAGCCAUUCAAACGCUCAGCCAAUCAUUCAGCAUUCUACUGCUCAUGUACUCCCCCUCCUCUUUCACUCCACUUACCAUAUAUCUUCUAUAUAAUCAGCACUUACCAUAUUUACAAUAUAAGCAGGAACAUCACACGGAGCAGUGGAAGGAAAAAGUUAAGAAACUCUGGGCAUUUUCCUGGUGGGGAAGGUGGGGAAUCAGCUGUUGACAAGAGUAGGUGAAGAAAUGUUGACCAGUGAGAAGGGGCAUAGUGAUCUGGUGAGGGAAUGUCAGGAGCAGGACACCCCAGAGUCUUUCAGGAUCUCAGGCUGAGAGUAUGGAAAAGACAGGAAGUAGGUGAGGAGGAGGGUGUAGUCAUCCAGGGUCUUGGGAGAGUGUCUUAGACCCUUUACUUUUUCAGGAGCAGGCUCACAGCAAGGUCCCUAUGUCUCCACUGUCCUACCAACCAAUCAGCAUGAUAUUAGCCACUGAGAAGAGUUUUCUGGCUGCCUUCUCUUUUCCUGCUGAUCGGAGCCAAUCAGAGUGAAAGGAGGUGAGUCAGCCACUGAGAAGACUCUUCUUGGUAGCUAAUGUUCUCCCUUUUCAUGUUGACAUGCUUAUAUGGAUAUCUGUUGUUGUGGGGGAAGGCAUUAACAAGGAUUUCAUUCUCAACCCAGCAGCAAAAGAAAACAGAGGGGGGGUAGGGGUGUGUGGCUGUGGCUAUCAUGAAGGGAGCCUGCACUUUUGAAUUUGUUACUACAAAACUGGUGGGGAGCAGGGAAAAUAUGAUGAUGAUGAAACCUAGGUUUGUUUGAUUGCCUGUGCGGUGGCUUGUGGUUAAGCAUGGUUUGUUUAACAAACUAUGCUUUAAUAAGCCACGGUUGAACUUUGGCUUAGCGUGAUGUGUUGACAAGAUCAUCAUAUGGUCUGGCACAAAGUAGGUAAUAGUCAAAAGCACUCUUGGCUAGAUUUAGAUUUGUGAUAUGACUUGAAGGAAAAGGUGGGCUUUAAGGUGGGGUUGAUGUCUAUCAGUUUCCAUAGCUGAAAUUAUACAACCCACAUACAACAUCCAAUGGCCAGUGAUUUCCCUAGCCCAGGAGUGGCUAACCCGUGGCCCUCCUGAUGUUGUUGGACUCCAGUGCCCAUCAACUUGAACCAGCAUGGCCAAUGGUCAGGGAAGAUGGAAGUUAGAGUCCAACAACAUCUGGAAGGUCACAGGUUAAGCCACCCCUGCCCUAGCCCAACAUAGCAGGAAAUACCGCUCUGUCUUGAGGGCAAUGAGAACUCACAACCAUCAAGGAUUCAGUCAAUACUGAAUUAAUUAGCCACUCAGAAUUCUGUGUUCAGUUUUCCAUGAUUUGUGUAUCCAAAUAGAUAGACUUAAGGAUUUUGACUAAUUCAUCAACACUUUGCACCCCACUAUUAAGUUUGAAACGACUUAUGAUGCCAAGUGUAUCCAUUUUCUAGAUGUGGAGAUCAAACACAAUCAUGGGAUUUUGGUUACAAACAUUUAUAGGAAACCAAUGGAUGUUAAUUCAUAUCUCCAGGAUGACAGCUACCAUCCCAUGUACCUCAAACAUAAUCUCCCAUAUUCUCAGAUGCUGAGAUUAAGGAGGGAUUGUAGCCAUGUGAGAGAUUUUCUCACCCAAGCAAAUGUGUUGAUGAGACAACUACAACACAAAGGGUAUCCUCAUAGGAUCCUAAAACAGGCAUUAUAUCAGCCGUAGAACCUUACUUACAUUCAAGGAUAGGUCUAUUCCGGAGCACAGGAUGAUUGUACCGGUAACAUACGACACAUAUGCAGCAUCCAUAAAAGAGGUUAUUAAUAAACACUGACACUUCCUGGAGGAUAUUCCACACUGUAAGAACUAUCCCAUGUUUGCAUACAAAUGUGCACCUAAUCUAAGGGAUGUGUUAAUGCAUUCGAGACUGAGAACACCUAGGUUGCUUAAUAGCACUAUAGACAACAGCAACAAUUCCAUAGGUCAAUUCCAUCUGGCAAGUGUAGUGUUUGUUCUAACUGCAACAAAAUCAAAUCAUUCAUCAGCCCCAGAGGGUAUAUCAUAUCAAAGAUUUAUUUAUGUGCAAUACUAAAGGAUUUAUAUAUAUUGUGCAUUGUCCAUGCCCUCUUUUGUAUGUGGGUAUGACUACAAGGAAAAUUAAAAUAUGCAUUUGUGAACAUAAAAGUUGUAUUAGAACUAAGAAGGUAUGCGCCCCAUUAAACGCUUUUUGGAAUUCUAACACGAUGAGAAAUUGCUUCAAUUUUGGUGUGUAGAAAAAAUUAAAACUUCAGGGAAAUAUUUUGGAUAAGAUACCUUAAUGCCAAAUGGUUUAAAUGAAGAGUUAGAUUGGAAGCCUAUUAUUUAGAAUUAUAUUUAUCGUGUUCAUAGAUUCAUUUAUUGGUUACUCCUAGCCAUAGUCUAUGAGUUGGUUUGGCUCUGGUAAAAUGGUUCCUGAUUGUAUAUAUAUGCUAAGAUCUGUAAAUUGAAAUCACUUUACUAAAUACGUUAAGUACUGACAGAAUGAAGCCCUUAUACAGGGAUGUUAGUAUUGCAUCACCCUUACACUGGAUGCUGAGUCAUUAUAGAAAAAAUAAAAAUAAAAAUCAGCUUAUUUUUGAGUGCGGACUUAGAAUAGGAAGCAUAUGCAUGCAGAAUAGGAGCAAAAACAAGAGAUAGAAGCAGAACAUUUGGGCUGCACAUCCAUCCUGCUGAAAAAUCCAGCAUUCUUCUAAAGAGCCGUAGUCUGCAAAGGUCACAAGUCAACUAAUAAAGCAUCAGGGUCUGAAGUUUGCUGUAGCUGCAGUAGCUGUUUGGGGAGUUAUGCUGAACAUGCUGAGGACCAUGGGACAUGUUUCAUGAGGUUGUUUUCUGCUGCAUAUUUAAAGAUUUCUUGUUCUACUGUCUAGAAAGCAUCUGUACUAAUCUGAGGGCAAGGAAACUUCUAGUCUUAUCUGUUCAUUUUUAUGAGAAAGCUACACUUUAAUAAAGACUACAGUAUUGUAUGUUUUUAAGUUUGAUACCACAAAGGGGUCAUGGAUGGAAUGAACUACUCGGGGGGGGGGGCAAUGCCUAUAUUUUGGGGGCUUCAUCCAUAAUAAGUAGAAAAUGGACAGAAGUAUAUAUCCAAGAAGAGACCAAUCAAUUCCAGCUGAAUUUCAAAAUUAUGUGUUUGUGAAAAAAGGGCUUCUGCAGGUAACAAAGAGAGAUACUUUUUUAAAAAAUGAGCUAUCAUGGGUAAGUUGUUUUGUUUCUGUUUGUUGUAAUCCACACUAUGACACUGAAACAACUGUCUGUGAUAAUAAAGGUCAGUAAUGACCAGUACCUUUUUUGUGAUGGUACUUAGCAGCACAGUCACCUCUUUUUUUGUGGCCCUUGGCAGCCAUUUUCUGCUGUCACCCAUAGCUGUUUUAUGAUGAUGUGUGUAUUGGCACCUCAUUUUUUUUACCUAAAAAGGACUGCUAAUGACUGUUAGACCUUUGUGACUAUUUUCCAACUUGUACCUCUUCUGAACUGCACAAUAAUUAAACUAAACAAUGUUACUAGA